This 3208-nucleotide long non-coding RNA is filed under the name Mus musculus (house mouse). Its description in RNAcentral is "predicted gene, 19131". The record is from RNAcentral. Lineage: Eukaryota; Metazoa; Chordata; Mammalia; Rodentia; Muridae.
AAUUAUUUCCUCGGUAUAAUUUCAUAAUUUAAUUUAUUUCUAAUACAUAAAAUUUUAAUUUUUAUUUGGUAUUAUAUGUACUUUAUGAUUAUAGAGUCAAUAUCCGUUGUAAAAAUUUUUGCAUAUAAAAAUCCAUCUAACAAAAUAUUUUUAGAAAAUCUGAGGAAUAAAUAGUAAGUCUAAGACUACAGAUAUCAGAACUGAGCAUUUUUUAUUAUUUUACUAUGCAAUUUUCAGAUUUAAAAUAUUUGAUACUUUUAUAUUUUUAACACAAAUAUAUUGUAGAACAAGGUCAUCAGACAUUAUGUGUGCUCCAAAAUGAUAUUUAUAAUUGAUCUAACAAAUAUUUUUCUAUAUUUUUUCUAUAAUUGUUUUAUCUAUCCAUUCUAUAUAAUUUAACAUUCUAUUUUUAGUAUUAAUUGUUAUCAAUAAUGCAAUAUAGGCCAAUAUUUAUGUAUUUAAUAUCUGUUUCUAGCAUUGAAACUGAAAUAUUUUGCUCUUAAAUUCUUAUUCUCUUGCUUGUACUCUUGCUCUCUUGUUCCCUUGCUCCUUCUCUCUCUCCCUUUCCCCUCCCCCCUUUCUCCAUGUGGCUAUGGUCAGCCUCUCCCUCCCUACUCUCUCCCUCUCUGCCUUUCUACAAUAAUCGCCUUAAAACUAUGGACUGCCUCUUCUCAUCAGGAUCCGCUGGAGCAAUGGAGCAGGUCUUCCCUUAACCUCCCGUGGGGAGGCCUCCCUGUGUUCCCAAGCCAUGGCUUCCACCAGCCCAAGCCCACCACCGACCAAGACAAGGACUCUCCUCUCCGAGAUAACCUGCCAGAGCUCUCUCCAUGCCUUUUUCCCUUCUUCCCAGGCCUGUAUCUACACAGGUCCCACACACUGUUCUCGGCUUUUCUUCAGCAUGCAGAGCCGUCUGGGAUGUCCAAGAGCGAGAACCUGUCAUCCCUGGCCUCCAUGCAGGUCCAUGGACGCUGAACCAUUCCAGCAGGUCUUCAGGGAUCUCAGACUGUGCCUCCCCCACCCCGGGUACUGUGGCUUCUCAUCGCACUACAUCUGUCUGGCAGCGACAUGGGUGUGCACCCAGUCAAAGCUUCCCCUGUCCUGCCUUGCCCAAUGGCCCUAGUCCAGAGCAGACGCUGGACCCCAUUGUUGACCCACAGAGAAGGAUCUGUGAGGUGCUGAGAAGACCCAAGGAGUUAAAAUAAUUCAGAUAUUUCCUCCUGGGCACAGGGAAUGGCAACCCCAGUAAAUAAAGCUUUGUUCCUUCCAAGAAGAGUCUCCUGAAUAAUUUCUCUAAUCACUGGCUGCCAUAGGCAGCAGCCCUCACUGCUAUCAGGAGAAAUGCACAUCAGUGGUUCUGAGUUCUCACACCAGUUGGCUGCUUACCUCGGUUUACCCACUUCGGGGAUGCCAAAGCUGGUCAUUGACACAGGUAGGGUUUUCUUUCAUUACCUUUGAAGCUUGGAAUCCACGACCAUUAUACUAACAGCAGUGCCUGAAUGAGCUCCUUUGCUAACCUCCCCCUUAGUCUGGAGAUGAGAUGACUUCCCUACCAUUAUGUGUCUUGCAUUAAGGAGACACAGAAGUUGAUCUUUGCUUUUUCUAUUGAGUGUGAUCAAAGUUACCUUGAGGUAAUGAAAAUGGAAGAAUGGCAGACACAUCAAAGCCCACCUAAGAAUAAUACCUACUUCAAAGUAAGGACUGAUUUUUAAUCAUGCAGUCAUAUUGUCUAAACAGUUUUGUAGGCAAGAGGAAAGAAUGGGUGUUCAACUGUGCCUAUGGAGUAUGUGGAGUGUGUGCAGAAGCAAAGCACUGAGGUAGGGUAUAUAACUGACUCUAUUGAUGCAUACUGCAUGGAGCAGCUCAAGGACUGAACUAUGAUGGACAUCACCAGUACAUGGUUAAAUAAGAAGGGUCUGACCCUAUCAGAGAGUGAGGAAGAUGAUAAGAAAAUGGAUCAGAGCAAGGCAAUGUGUCAGAAUGUCUGCAAUCUCAUGAAGGAAAGUUUGGAGAUGAGAGUUGAGGUGGUGUGUUUGUGUUUAAGAUUGUCCCAUGGAAAUUUACAUUGCUAUAUAGCUAGCAUUGUCAGGCAGUAUAGAAACUAGCCUGCCAAAGCAAUAAUAGGCUACUGUUUCUGAAGGACUGAACAGAUAUUUACACUAGUCUCAGGAAGAAGUACUAUUUUCAUAUUUUUUCAUAUACUCCAUAACAGUGAUUAUCCUAGCUUCUAUGCAUGCAUAAGAAAGGCCUUACUGUCUUACUCAGGUUAUUUGUGAAUCCGUGGAUGCAGGCCACCAUCCUGGAAAGUCAGUGUCUACGGUAGCUGAGGUUAGUCAUCUUCCACUCUCAAAAACCAUAAUUAAUUAAAAAUAAAAAUUUUGGAAUUGCUAUGCAUGUUUACACAACACUUCCUUGGCAGCCAAGAGUCUAACUACAUCCUGCAAGACUAUAUCAACAAACAAACAAACAAACAAAACCCUUUUGAUUGUCCACAAAUGAGAAUCUCUACUAGACUUGUGUCUCCGCUGAUACAUUGUGAUAAGGUCCUAUAACUGGACAGCCAAUAUGAAGCAGUUCAUGAAGGACAAGGCACUUUAGGACAUAUGUACAGUUUAGUACAUGAUGGUCAAAAACAAAAACAAAACAACAACAACAAAAAAAAAAAAAAAAACAAAUAGAGGCCAAUCAUGCCCAUCCUUUUGUGAGGAUUUUGCAGCAGAGGUUUAGGUGGACAAAAAUGGAAAAACUGUCACGGACCUUGUGCUGCUGUUGUUUGAACCUCUUUUGGUCUCCUCUGCAUUUUCCCUUGACCAUCCCCAGAUCCACAUCGCUGGAAUCUACUGCAUAAUCUACUGAGCCUGAGUAUGUUAGAAGGCUGAUUGGCUACAGGUGUCGAGUUGUGAAAGUACCUGGGCCCUUGGCCAGACUUAAAACUAUCUGACUCUGAACACUUGUUUUGUGCAUUGAUACAGAUAAAGUAGCAGCUCAGAGGUCCAGUGCUGCUGUUCCUGAUAACAGCUCCUAGCUGAGGGUGAUAGGGCACCUCUAACAUGGAAGAAGUAGAUUAGAUACUUCAUUGGAAAGUCCUGUGUAGAGUUUCACUGUGGCUCCCUGAGCAGGCUUGAUGACUUUCCUCACUGUUUCUAUGUUCAUAUCUAAAAUAUCUCUUCUAUCCUCUCCUUCAUGCCUUAAGGCAAUAAAAUCACCUCCC